Molecule: transfer RNA, 70 nt
Filed under: Gordionus alpestris
Lineage: Eukaryota; Metazoa; Nematomorpha; Gordioida; Chordodea; Parachordodidae
Also listed under: 1 other name
Description: tRNA-Trp
Rfam family: tRNA
About the family: Transfer RNA (tRNA) molecules are approximately 80 nucleotides in length. Their secondary structure includes four short double-helical elements and three loops (D, anti-codon, and T loops).
Source: RNAcentral
AGGAUUUUAGGUUAAAAUUUAAACCGUAGGUCUUCAAAACCUAUAAUAAUUUAUUAAAAAUUAAAUCUUA